RNAcentral lists this transfer RNA (68 nucleotides) under Broscus cephalotes. RNAcentral describes it as "tRNA-His". The record is from RNAcentral. Lineage: Eukaryota; Metazoa; Arthropoda; Insecta; Coleoptera; Carabidae.
AUUUAAAUAGUUUAAUUAAAACUUUGAUUUGUGGUAUCAAUAAUAUAAAAUUUAUUUUAUUUUAAAUU